Molecule: microRNA precursor, 88 nt
Filed under: Podarcis lilfordi (Lilford's wall lizard)
Lineage: Eukaryota; Metazoa; Chordata; Lepidosauria; Squamata; Lacertidae
Source: RNAcentral
GUGUGUGCGGGUCUUGGGGGCUUUUCCCCGAGGAGGGAGAAGGGCGGUCCUCCCUCCUCGGGGAAAAGCCCCCAAGAGCCGCACACAC